UACGUAGGGUGCAAGCGUUAAUCGGAAUUACUGGGCGUAAAGCGUGCGCAGGCGGUUUGUCAAGUCCGAUGUGAAAUCCCCGGGCUUAACCUGGGAAUGGCAUUGGUGACUGCACGGCUAGAGUGUGUCAGAGGGGGGUAGAAUUCCACGUGUAGCAGUGAAAUGCGUAGAGAUGUGGAGGAAUACCGAUGGCGAAGGCAGCCCCCUGGGAUAACACUGACGCUCAUGCACGAAAGCGUGGGGAGCAAACAGG
This 253-nucleotide ribosomal RNA is filed under the name uncultured bacterium. RNAcentral describes it as "partial 16S ribosomal RNA". It matches the Rfam family "Bacterial small subunit ribosomal RNA", at positions 524 to 776 of the family's 1533-position model. The record is from RNAcentral.